Molecule: ribosomal RNA, 393 nt
Filed under: Pseudibis papillosa (red-naped ibis)
Lineage: Eukaryota; Metazoa; Chordata; Aves; Pelecaniformes; Threskiornithidae
Description: partial 16S ribosomal RNA
Source: RNAcentral
UUUGUGGGCCUUCAAGCAGCCACCAACAAAGAGUGCGUCAAAGCUCUACACUUAAAGAUCUAAAAACAAUGUGACUCCCUCACCCUUAACAGGCCAACCUAUAAUAAUAGGAGAGUUAAUGCUAAAAUAAGUAACUAGGGGCCUACCCUCUCAAGCGCAAGCUUACAUCCCCACAUUAUUAACAGAUCUCACUAAUACCCCAAUUCUAACAAGACUAGAUAUUUGCAACGUCUGUUAACCCGACUCAGGAGCGCCCACUAGAAAGAUUAAAAUCUGUAAAAGGAACUAGGCAAACCCAGGGCCCGACUGUUUACCAAAAACAUAGCCCUCAGCAAUCCAAGUAUUGAAGGUGAUGCCUGCCCGGUGACACAGUUUAACGGCCGCGGUAUCCUA